UCUAAUAUGGCAGAAUAGUGCAAUGGAUUUAAGCCCCAUAAAUAAAGGCUGACUUUUUUUAGAA
This 64-nucleotide transfer RNA is filed under the name Cheirotonus gestroi. RNAcentral's name for it is "tRNA-Leu". RNAcentral also lists the same sequence under 1 other name. The record is from RNAcentral. Lineage: Eukaryota; Metazoa; Arthropoda; Insecta; Coleoptera; Scarabaeidae.